CCUUGCUUCAGCCCUCUCCUGGGGUUGGGGUCCUUGUCUCUGGGAAGAAGAACUUCAUGGAUGGCCCCUGCAGGGCCAGGGACCUCAGGCAUGGCCACGGCCCAUCUCUGCACUUUGGUCCAGUCAUUUUGGCCCAGAAGCAGCGCCUGGCUGUCUUCUCAGCCUCUGAGCCCCUUGGUCUCUCUUGCUCCUUACUAACUGUUGCCUUAGUUCUCAGUUAAGGACUUAGCCCCUCAACUGUAGGAGAGAAACUCCUUCGGGCAAAUCUGACAGCUGGAACCAACAGGAAAUGGGGACCACGGCAGGGAGGCCAGCGCUCCCGGGCUGAGCAGGGCUGGGUGGUGUGGUGUGGGGGCAACGUCCACCACAGGCAGCAAAAGGGGACUCGUUUUCAAAAGCUGUGCUUUGGGGCACGAGGCAGAAAGUGGGUUUUUUUCCACCUUCUCCCAGGGACAAACAGCAGUGCCUCUGUGGGGGACAGAAGAUAAAAUACUUGCUGGGUUCUGAUUAGAAAUUUUAAGAAAGAUGUUGAUAUCUGUCCAAACUCCUGCCCCCGAGUGGCUGGGGGUGUGGAGGCCGAGGAUAAGAAGGGAGGUGUCCUCUGUGGCUCCGAUAAGCAGGUGAGCUUCUGCCUUCUUCAUGGGGCCGUCGGGCUCCGUCAUGAAUGGUGUAGCCCAAGUCUGGGUUAGAGGUGUCAGCUGGGUAUCUGGCAAUGCCAGGCCAUGAAGCAGAACGGAGGCGGCGUGGCUCCGGGUCACCAGGGCAAACAGGCUCCCAUCCGGGGGGCGCUGCUAGUGCCCCAGCUGUUCCAGUCUGUCCUGGGGCCACCAGGAGGUCUCUCCACAAAACCCCAUCAGAGACCACCUUCAGUUUCAGGUCCUCUCCCCCUGGCUGGGCCCCAGGAAGACACCUUGUGCUGAGUUCAGGGUGACAUUGGGCUCUGGCCGCAGGAAGCGGGCCCUCCUCACCAGCACGACACUGGUCGGUGUCCACUUCACUGGUCUGCCUCCAACUGUGCCUGUAAAGAGGGGAAAAAAUUAAGGGAGAGAGUGUGGAGGUAAAAAAAACAGACCUGGAAGACAGACUGCAUGGAAACGGGAGAGGAUGAGCUCACUCAGGGGAAAAAUUUGCGAAUGGAAGCCUGGAAUUGAAUUUUUGAAGAAUGGUGAAAGAUCGGGGGAUACUGAAUAGUUCAUUGAAGAACUAAUGCACGUAUGGUGAAUGAGCAAAACGAUUAAAGCAAGCCAUCAAAGGAAAAACUGUAAGAAGUGAGAAUGGCACUCGUAGAACGUGAGUGCUAAGGUAGGGCCAGUGGGACAAAGGCAAAGCAGGAAAUCUUCCCCGGAUUAACCAUGUGAGCUUCACUCAAAAAAGUACUCAUCUAUAAAGUGAAGAUGACAACGAUAGUAUGUACUUCACAGAAUUCUUGUGAUUAAAUGAAUCUACACCUGUAUAGCUCAUAAUAUGGUACCUGGCACCUAACUCUAUAUGUGUUUGCUAUUAUUAUAAUAACUGGACUCAGACUCCAAAAAUCCUGAGCUUGAGUCCUAGCUCAGUCAAGUCCCUUCACCUAUCUUCAUCUCCCUCAUGUGAAAUAAUAAAACUGACUUUUCAGGGUGCCUGUGAAAGAAGAUACCCGAAAGGGCUUUGAGAAAUGUAAAACACGGUACAAAUGGAUGACAU
Pteropus alecto (black flying fox) is the source of this 1683-nucleotide long non-coding RNA. RefSeq lists it as uncharacterized. The transcript is spliced from 3 exons. Lineage: Eukaryota; Metazoa; Chordata; Mammalia; Chiroptera; Pteropodidae. The record is from RefSeq and is a predicted model, not a curated record.